Cryptomeria japonica (Japanese cedar) is the source of this 807-nucleotide long non-coding RNA. RefSeq lists it as uncharacterized. The record is from RefSeq and is a predicted model, not a curated record. Lineage: Eukaryota; Viridiplantae; Streptophyta; Pinopsida; Cupressales; Cupressaceae. The transcript is spliced from 3 exons.
GCGGCAAGGGCAGAGGAAUGGAGGGUAACUAAUUAUUCAUCUACUAAUUAUUUUACACGACUCUCUACUGAAAAACGUUUUUCUCUCGCUUAGGAAGGAGAAUCUCCAUGAUCUGAUUAUGGCAGCAGCUUAUUCAGAGGAAAGGGAUCACGCAUGUCUACCCGUGUCUCCAACCACUAUGCUUGCCUUUGCCCCUAGAUAUGACAUUGUAAAAUCGAUCAAAGUGCGGCUUAUAAACAAGCGAUCGAAAGAUUACAAUAUUGAAGCCAAGACUAGAUUGACUGUCUUCUACAUGAGAUAGAAGUUCCAUGCUGGACCAUUUGAAGUAGAACCUAUUUGAGUUACCCACUCAAAACCAGAUUGUUGUGGGUUGGUGCUUCAUUGUGAAGACGGAAGACUUUUUCACACACGAAUUGGAAGAUUGAUGAGUUGCCUGUUGGUGGAAGAAGCUUUUAUCGUGUAGUAUUAGAACAACUUGCAAAAGAAGGCAUUAUAUUGGUAUGUUCUAGAAGCUAUCUUAUAUUUGUUGGAGUAAUGUUAACUCCAACUAAGGUUGUGUUAGCAGCUGUGGUAGCCCAACUUUCAAACUAUUCUCAUUCUGUUCUUGUCGUGAGUUUUGGACAACAGACGGUGCAUGCUUUUUGGCAUAAGCUAACUAUAAGCAAACAAUCAGUUAAUUUUCUUUCUCCACCUCCUUCACCGUAAUUCAGUUUAUGCGGUGGUUCUUUUGUAUUUAACUUCAUGCAAUCAUUGUAAUAAUAUAUAAGAAUUUCAUUUAUAUGAAGAUUUGUGUCUGUUAUGUGUUUU